The sequence is a ribosomal RNA, 725 nucleotides long. It matches the Rfam family "Bacterial large subunit ribosomal RNA", at positions 1450 to 2171 of the family's 2925-position model.
CUCACCAUUUGAGCAAUGGGGGGACGCAGGAGGAUAGGGUAAGCGCGGUAUUGGAUAUCCGCGUCCAAGCAGUUAGGCUGGGAAAUAGGCAAAUCCGUUUCCCAUAAGGCUGAGCUGUGAUGGCGAGCGAAAUUUAGUAGCGAAGUUCCUGAUUCCACACUGCCAAGAAAAGCCUCUAGCGAGGUGAGAGGUGCCCGUACCGCAAACCGACACAGGUAGGCGAGGAGAGAAUCCUAAGGUGAUCGAGAGAACUCUCGUUAAGGAACUCGGCAAAAUGACCCCGUAACUUCGGGAGAAGGGGUGCUCUGUUAGGGUGCAAGCCCGAGAGAGCCGCAGUGAAUAGGCCCAGGCGACUGUUUAGCAAAAACACAGGUCUCUGCGAAGCCGUAAGGCGAAGUAUAGGGGCUGACGCCUGCCCGGUGCUGGAAGGUUAAGAGGAGCGCUUAGCGUAAGCGAAGGUGCGAAUUGAAGCCCCAGUAAACGGCGGCCGUAACUAUAACGGUCCUAAGGUAGCGAAAUUCCUUGUCGGGUAAGUUCCGACCCGCACGAAAGGCGCAACGAUCUGGGCACUGUCUCAACGAGAGACUCGGUGAAAUUAUAGUACCUGUGAAGAUGCAGGUUACCCGCGACAGGACGGAAAGACCCCGUGGAGCUUUACUGCAGCCUGAUAUUGAAUGUUGGUACAGCUUGUACAGGAUAGGUAGGAGCCUUGGAAACCGGAGCGC